UUUUUCUGGAAUGCAAAAACCAGUUAAAUAACUCAAAACCUUUCUUCCUAAGGAGAAAGACAUUGAGUCUUAAUAAUGCUAUUUAUAUUGGCCAGAUUUCUUUGUGAUGCUAAGAUAUGAAUCCAGUUUAAUUAGAAAUAAAUCCAACCCCCACUUGAAUUGAGUUUUUCAUUAAAUCAGGAGGUUCUGAACCAUUUGCUUCUAAUACUACUUGGGGCUGGAAUGAGAGGGAAACCUUGACCUUCUUCUGCUCCCAGCAAAAAUACAUCUGGUCCUGACACUGAACAGGCAAGGUGAGUACAGACAGCACAGCAGAAGGUGGAUGUGAAGAUGUGACUUCAGGUUAAAACGAUGACAAAUCAUUGAGAAAGGUUGAGCGGCCGUUUCAGACUUUGAGAUAUUGCUCUGUUCAUUCACUCACUCCCCGGGAAUUUCCCUUCAUGCGGCAUUCGUUUCAUGACUAAGAAUUAUUUUCUGACUCGUCUGUGUUGUAAUGGAGUAAAUGAAAACAAUCUUGACUGCGUGGGGCAGUAAUUGUUUGCACCAGUUGGUUGGUUUUUUUUUCUUCUCCCCAGAACACUGAGACGAUCAGAUUAUGAGUGGAAAGAAAUUAUGUUCCAAAGGUGUCCGAAGACUUCAUCUAAGGUCACUGGAAGGCUUUGCUGUAUGAGACGUUGUACAAACAUGGAUUAAAUAGGCAUAAAUAACAGUAGUUGUUAGAAACAGUGGGAAUUAUAUUCUUUAUGUUGUUGGGGAACUGAUGUGUGGGAGUAAAAUCACACAAGGAGUGAGGUCUCCUCCAACACUGUGAUUCUAAACAGAAACUAAACCUGGUCCUCCAAGCCCAUACAUAAUAAUUUCCAUAAAGGUGUAGGGCACAACAAAUAGAUCCAUAUAGAUCCAUAUUUGCCAGAGUGAGAGUAAAGGAUGCUGCAGUAAUUGAAGCACCUGUGUGGAUGCUGUAAGAACAGGAUGCAUGGAUAUAUAACAAGAGAAUCUGCAAAAUGGUAUGUAGUCUGAAUGGAAAACUCAGAGGAAAUCUGAAGCU
Molecule: long non-coding RNA, 1048 nt
Filed under: Coturnix japonica (Japanese quail)
Lineage: Eukaryota; Metazoa; Chordata; Aves; Galliformes; Phasianidae
Description: lncRNA (ENSCJPG00005005270.1)
Source: RNAcentral